RNAcentral lists this small nuclear RNA (22 nucleotides) under Arabidopsis thaliana (thale cress). Its description in RNAcentral is "snRNA_16234". The record is from RNAcentral. Lineage: Eukaryota; Viridiplantae; Streptophyta; Magnoliopsida; Brassicales; Brassicaceae.
AAAAAUUUCAUUUCAAAUGGCU